UACAGAGGUGGCAAGCGUUGUUCGGAAUUACUGGGCGUAAAGGGCGCGUAGGCGGCCUUGUCAGUCAGACGUGAAAUCCCCAGGCUUAACCUGGGAACUGCGUCUGAUACUACAAGGCUGGAGUUCGGGAGAGGAAUGUGGAAUUCCAGGUGUAGCGGUGAAAUGCGUAGAUAUCUGGAGGAACACCGGUGGCGAAGGCGGCAUUCUGGACCGAAACUGACGCUGAUGCGCGAAAGCCAGGGGAGCAAACGGG
RNAcentral lists this ribosomal RNA (253 nucleotides) under uncultured bacterium. Its description in RNAcentral is "partial 16S ribosomal RNA". It matches the Rfam family "Bacterial small subunit ribosomal RNA", at positions 524 to 776 of the family's 1533-position model. The record is from RNAcentral.